This 466-nucleotide ribosomal RNA is filed under the name uncultured bacterium. RNAcentral's name for it is "bacterial SSU rRNA". It matches the Rfam family "Bacterial small subunit ribosomal RNA", at positions 28 to 524 of the family's 1533-position model. The record is from RNAcentral.
GACGAACGCUGGCGGCAUGCCUAACACAUGCAAGUCUAGGGGUAGCAAUACCACUGGCGCACGGGUGAGUAACACGUAGGUUAUCUGCCCCCAUCACAGACAUAACCCCGGGAAACCGGGGCUAAUAUCUGAUGAGGUCGCGAGAUCAAAGCUUCGGCGGAUGGGGAUGAGCCUGCGGCUGAUUAGCUAGUUGGUGAGGUAAUGGCUCACCAAGGCGACGAUCAGUAGCUGGUCUGAGAGGACGAACAGCCACACUGGAACUGAGACACGGUCCAGACUCCUACGGGAGGCAGCAGUGAGGAAUAUUGGUCAAUGGGAGCAAUCCCGAACCAGCAAUGCCGCGUGUGGGAUGACAGGGCUUCGCCUUGUAAACCACUGUCGGACGGGACGAAAGGAGGCCUCGGGCCUCUGGGACGGUACCGUCAAAGGAAGGGUCGGCUAACUACGUGCCAGCAGCCGCGGUAAU